UCGGGAAUUUUGGGCAAUGGGCGAAAGCCUGACCCAGCAACGCCGCGUGAAGGAUGAAGUAUUUCGGUAUGUAAACUUCGAAAGAAUAGGAAGAAUAAAUGACGGUACUAUUUAUAAGGUCCGGCUAACUACGUGCCAGCAGCCGCGGUAAUACGUAGGGACCAAGCGUUGUUCGGAUUUACUGGGCGUAAAGGGCGCGUAGGCGGCAAUUCAAGUCAUCUGUGAAAUCUCCGGGCUUAACUCGGAACGGUCAGAUGAUACUGCUUUGCUAGAGUGCAGAAGGGGCAAUCGGAAUUCUUGGUGUAGCGGUGAAAUGCGUAGAUAUCAAGAGGAACACCUGAGGCGAAGGCGGUUGCUGGGCUGAUACUGACGCUGAGGCGCGAAAGCUAGGGUAGCAAACGGGAUUAGAUACCCUCGUAGUCCCUGAGCGGGCUGGCAAGGCGCAU
RNAcentral lists this ribosomal RNA (446 nucleotides) under uncultured bacterium. RNAcentral's name for it is "bacterial SSU rRNA". It matches the Rfam family "Bacterial small subunit ribosomal RNA", at positions 355 to 825 of the family's 1533-position model. The record is from RNAcentral.